Long non-coding RNA from Uranotaenia lowii, 372 nucleotides. RefSeq lists it as uncharacterized. The transcript is spliced from 3 exons. NCBI's taxonomy places the organism in Eukaryota, Metazoa, Arthropoda, Insecta, Diptera, Culicidae. The record is from RefSeq and is a predicted model, not a curated record.
GAUUAUCUAGUUAAAUAGAGUAAGUGCUAGGGAUACUAUUCCGCGAAUGACAUAACAUUCAGGCAAGUCUAAUAUUAAAUUUAACUAUCAAGAACUCAGUACCAUUUUCGAGCUUAUGAGUUCAAUGCUCUAAUAUAACCCUACUAUUUUAGCUUGUAUCACUGGCUUACAACAGGAUUCAGUAACUUUAUAAUUACUUCUUUAUAUUGAGCAGAACCGUAAUUCAGUUAGAUCAAAGCAUCCUAGACUUUUGUACAUACUGUCGGGAUUCGCUUUUACAUGUUGGAAAUUUGAAGAAGGUUAGGAGAGCACUAAAAUCUUUGAAGCUGACCUAAAUCAGUCUAUCUAGAAGUGUUUCAUUCCUCGUAAUAA